GCGACAACUACCGCGGCGGCGGCGGCGGCAACUGGGGCCAGCAGCAGCCGCAGCCCUGGUCCGGCGGCUACCAGCAGCAGUGGGGACAGCAGGGCUGGGGCGGCUACGGCCAGCAGUACGGCCAGCAAUAUGGUCAGCAGGCCGGCUACGGCCAGCAGUACGGCCAACAGGCCGGCUACGGCCAGCAGUACGGCCAGAGCGGCUACGGCCAGCAGUACGGACAGCAGGGCGGCUACGGCCAGCAGGGCUACGGCCAAUACUACCAGGGCUACGGUCAGGGCUACGGCCAGUCCGGGUCGUACGGCUCGCAGGGCGGCGCCGGCGGCAACUACGGCCGCUCCUAGGCGGCCACAGAUGGCACCACCUGCGCGUACAUUUCCAUCGCAUCUCCGCACGGGCCGCGGGCGCGCCGCCGCCCGACAGCGAGGCGUCAGUCGGAAGGUCACGGCCGACCCCCGCCCGAGCGGCGCGCGCGCGUGCGGACCCGGUUCUUGUGUGUAACCAAGCGCGGCGGCGAACUCGGCGAGGUACUUUUAGUUCUGGGCGAGGCGCGCCGGCUAGUUCCACGGCUAUUGAUUUGUACCUGCGUCGUUGUGUGUGUGUGUGCGUGUACGUGGCCGGUGUAAUCACCACUGUGCGUGGAUCAGAACGCCUUGUUUCUAGCUGUGUAAGCGAGACAAAAGUCGUGGUGGCCGGAUCGGAACAAUGCGUCGCUCCCGUGUAUUUUUACCAUUAAUUCCCUUCGUAACGACGGUUUGGACAUUUGUUUUUAACGCUAGAACAUCACUCAUGUGUGUCGUGCCCCGCUAGAGCUGGCACGCCCGAAUGCAUGGCUUCAGGAAGCGUGGUGGGGUUGUCGGCUUUGGUUUCCAGCGGGAUUCUCCAUCGAAGCUUUGGAACCGGAUCGUAAACGUUUAAAGUACAAGAUUUGGGAGAGUGUUGAUGUUCAAUUGCACACAUACACAUAAAUUUUCAUC
Molecule: long non-coding RNA, 977 nt
Organism: Pollicipes pollicipes
Lineage: Eukaryota; Metazoa; Arthropoda; Thecostraca; Pollicipedomorpha; Pollicipedidae
Exons: 3
Source: RefSeq, a predicted model, not a curated record